GCCCGGCUGGCUCAAUCAGUAGAGUAUGUGACUCUCAAUCUCAGGGUUGUGAGUUCGAGCCCCACAUUGGGCA
RNAcentral lists this transfer RNA (73 nucleotides) under Ailuropoda melanoleuca (giant panda). It matches the Rfam family "tRNA". From Rfam's summary of the family: Transfer RNA (tRNA) molecules are approximately 80 nucleotides in length. Their secondary structure includes four short double-helical elements and three loops (D, anti-codon, and T loops). Lineage: Eukaryota; Metazoa; Chordata; Mammalia; Carnivora; Ursidae. The record is from Rfam by way of RNAcentral.